RNAcentral lists this transfer RNA (94 nucleotides) under uncultured marine thaumarchaeote AD1000_70_G10. RNAcentral describes it as "tRNA-Ser". It matches the Rfam family "tRNA". Rfam says of the family: Transfer RNA (tRNA) molecules are approximately 80 nucleotides in length. The record is from RNAcentral. Lineage: Archaea; Thermoproteati; Nitrososphaerota.
GCCGUGGUUGCCUAGCCUGGUAAGGCGCAGGAUUGCUAUUCUGCAAAUAUCCUGUCUCCGCAAGGAAUCGCGGGUUCAAAUCCCGCUCACGGCG